CCUACGGGAGGCAGCAGUGGGGGAUAUUGCACAAUGGGGGAAACCCUGAUGCAGCGACGCCGCGUGUGGGAAGACGGUCCUCUGGAUUGUAAACCACUGUCACCAGGGACGAAGAUGACGGUACCUGGGGAGGAAGCUCCGGCUAACUACGUGCCAGAAGCCGCGUUACUACGUAGGGAGCGGGCGUUGUCCGGAAUUACUGGGUGUAACGGGAGCGUAGGCGGGACUGCAGGUGGGUGGUAAAAUCUUCCGGUCAAACCGGUAGCCGCAAUCAACACUGGAGUCCUUGAGUGCAGUAGAGGCAGGCGGAAUUCCUAGUGUAGCGGUGAAAUGCGUAGAUAUUAGGAGGAACACCAGUGGUGAAGGCAGCCUGCUGGGCUUUUACUGACGCUGAGGCUCGAAAGUGUGGGGAGCAAACAGGAUUAGAUACCCUGGUAGUC
This 440-nucleotide ribosomal RNA is filed under the name uncultured bacterium. RNAcentral describes it as "partial 16S ribosomal RNA". It matches the Rfam family "Bacterial small subunit ribosomal RNA", at positions 338 to 795 of the family's 1533-position model. The record is from RNAcentral.